AAUUUCGCGCCGCGCUACUCCUGAUGUAUUGAAAGUAGUUACAGUUAACGGUUUUGCGAAAUUGUGCUAUUUUACAAGAUAUGCAUCUACAACCAAGAGCGACAAUCGUUUAGUAUUAGCCUCCACGAAUCUGAUGAACAACACCUUAGUCUAAUCUCACACAUCUCUUCCGUAAUAUGUUCUGGAUUAUAUUUAAAGGUAGCCCAUCAUUUUAUACCUGCAUGAAAACGACAUGAUAUAAACAGUCCCUCAGACUUUUCCAUGCGUAAAAAAUGCAACGGUGGAAGGCAGCCUUAACACUGUUUCCACUGCGCUUAUCUCUUGUUAGUCCAGUUAAAAGCAGGUUAUAAAGAUCAUUUUAUAAGUUUACAUGCAGGGGGGGGUGAUGAGCCGUUCUUAGUGCACUUACUAGCUUUUUGAUGACAAAUGCAAAUGACGAAUGGUUAUGGUCCAAGUAUUUUAUUGUAGCGUUACAUCACUGACUGCCACUAAUUCUCUGAGGUACUUUGCAAUACAGGAAGGUUGCUCUGUUGAAAAUGACCAACUGAGACGAUUGAAGAAAAAGAACACGAUUUUGACUGUUUAAUGAUUAAGAAAUUAAGCUCAAGAAAUUUAACUGUAAAUCAUUUAAAAUCACCAACUGCGUGAACACAAUUGUACAUGUUAAUAACCACAGCAUGGAACGCAAAAGAAAUGUAGAUUUGCUCAUAAAAUGAAAGUUAAUAAUGGAGAUGUUUGCGUGUUAAAGGUUGUCGUUUUCAUCUUGUUGAGAACAGUGUUCGUUUUUAGCCUUCGAAAAAAAUAACUUCUACCACGGAUAAAUAGAAACUGAAGAAUCAAUCAAGUCUACCAGAAACACAUGAAGCGAUGUGAAUACACUACAAGACAAUCGUUAGUUCCUGAAAGACGCCAAGGUAAGAUGGUUGAUUGGUUUUACAUAUAUUGUGAAUGAGAAAUACUGACCAUGAUUAUAAACAGACCACUUUGUAACAGACCACUGUAUAGCUAUAAGACCUCUGUCAAAUCGUUAACUACAUCACCAUCAAUAUCUUGUGCUUGGUUGUAAAAUGUGAACAGAAUGUAAUGAAACAUUAUGUAUUAUUUGCUGUCGACAAACAUGGAGUUGAAUGCUUUUUGUGACAUCAUUGAGUGGGAGUUCUAAAUCACACCUUUGCGGCACUUCACUUAAAUAAGAGCUUGAUUUUGAUAUGGAUGUUUGCAAGAAAGCAAACUUCUAGUUCAAAAACCAAGGUCAAAAAAGAUCUUGUCCAAAGUUGAUUAAACGAAAAUAUUUAAGCAGGCUGUUUAUAUGAAUAACCUAGCGUUCAGUUCAAAACUGUAUAUAACUUCAGUAUUUUAUUCUAGGGUACUUUCACAUAUUCUCAGCUACGUUUAGGCAAUUAGGAUCGAUUCAAAAUAUUGAGACAGAGCAAGUGAAAUUAUAUGCAUUUUCCCGACAAUACCGGACUAGUCUCCAGGCCACUUUUACGCGUCUUUGCAUUUUGUGACGUCAUUGUGGCACUUCACUUGAAUAAGAGCUAAUGUUUUGAACGUUUUCCCUAAAUAUUUCCAUUGAUUGAGAAAUUACUUUCACAUUGACCGGUAAUAACACAAUAUCUAUGUCAAACUCAUGAAUGUGAGUACGUUUUUUGAAUACGGGCGAUAGAAUAAUUAUGGUAAAACUGUAUGACUCGUCUUUGAAAUAAAGCAUUUUGACUCUGAUUUGGUUUUGAGAAACAUAGACAAAAUGCAUUGCCAAUAUUUUUCACCUAACAGGUAAUGGCGUCUUACAUCACUGGUUAUGACGAUGAACUAUUUCAACACCCCGUUGGUCCUAGUCUUCAUUGCUGUAUUUGCACCAAUGUCAUCAAAGACCCGGUCAUGUGUCGCCAUAAUGAACACAUAUUUUGUCGUGGUUGUAUCACCAGACAUCUCAUGAACUCUCAGACAUGCCCGACAUGUAUGGAACCACUCACUGUCGAUACUCUGAAAGUGCCUCGGACCUUUGCGAAAUUGCUUUCUGAACUUAAGAUCCGUUGUGAGUUCUUCAACCGUGGUUGCGGGAAGUUUGUUGAACUGGGAGAUCUUGAAAAGCAUGUUGCAGAGUGUGGGUUUGCUCCAGCAUUCUGCUCGAAUGAAGGUUGUGGACGGGAAGUCAACAAGCAAGAUUUACUUCAUCAUGAAACAGCUGUGUGUGAACAACACGUAGUUCAAUGUCAUAGUUGUAAUGACAUAAAACGAGAGAUGGAUGUCGUUAAAGACAACAUGGCGGCAAUUAAGGAAAAGGUGGAUGAAAAUUAUGUGAAUGGAAAAGAAGUUGCUGCAAAAGUUGAAUUGGUUCAAGGAAAACUAAACAAGCAGGAAGAAAGCAAUCGACGCCUGAAAGCGGACAAUGUUGAAAUGAAGAAAUGUUUGCAUGAAAUCACGAAGCAACUUGAACAAAUGACACAACAAAUAUCGCGUGAGGUUCCGGAAGAACACAUGAAGAAAGGAAGAGCAGAAGCUGUUGAAAAGGAAAGAGAGACGAUGGUUGUCGUCGCUGGAGGUUGGAAUGGUAUAUUUCUAAAUUCAGUGGAAAUGUUCAAUCCAGCAACAGCAACCUGGUCAUUACUACAUCAAAUGAAAGAAUUCCGUAAAUCACCAUCGUCAGUUAUUUACAACAACCAACUCCUUGUCACUGGCGGUUUUACUAGUCAUGGUUGGUCGCAGUCCAUGGAAAAAUUAUCAAUGAAUGAUAUUCAAGUUGAUCACGGAAUACGUUGGAAAUAUUUUCCUGCUGAGUUACCAGUGGCGUUACAAGGACACUGCACCGUGGUUCAUAACAGACGGUUGAUAGUGAUCGGAGGUCUUGAUGCAAAGGUAUAUGCUCCACAUUUGAAUAAAAUUAGUGAGAUUCCCCUUGUUCCACCUUAUAACCCAAAUCAGUUGACCACCAUGCCACAAGGAAGAUGCUAUCAUGGCGUUGCCAUGUUUGGUGAACAGAUCAUUAUUGUCGGCGGGAAAGAAAAUUUAUCUGAUACCUUAACUCCGCAAAGUGUUGUUAUGUAUGACAUCACUAAGAAUGAAUGUCAGGAGUUGGCUCCCCUCCCCUACCCCGUGAGUGAAAUGGCCACAGUCAAGUGGAACAGUGACAGUGUCAUCAUAAUGGGUGGUGGUGACAGCAACGACAAAGCAUUAAGCAAAGUUUUAAUGUACAACAUCAAGACCCAGAAGAGUCACAUGCUUCCUAACAUGAAGUACAAGAGGAAAGGAUGUGUGGCUGCAGUUGUCAGAGACACCGUGAUCGUGAUGGGAGGCCAGGAUGAAAGAGGAAAUUUCUUGAGGUCUGUGGAAAGUUUUAGAUUUGACAGAUACAGCUGGGAAGAACUUCCAGAAAUGCACCAUGCAAGAUACUGCGCUACUGCAGUGGCCUGGUAAUUACAUAUUACAGCAGAGACAACUGAUUAUUCACACCUGAAUCUGAAAUCUCUAGACUAGUCCCAGACUUUAUUAACAUGUCUUCAAAGUAUAAUUUGAUCAGUAAUUUAAUUUAAUUUUAUCUCUUAGUAUGACCUUGCUAAUAAUGGUUAUAACUUAAAUGACUGCUUCUGAUCUAUUCUCAGCCCUUAUAUUUCAUAUGAAGACAGCAACUCAAAUACUCAAUACCUAACUGUUGAAAUCAUGUAAAUUACUGAUGCAAAUAUAAAUGAGGCAACUCUUCAAUUUUCUCCUGACCAUAGACAGACAAUGUAGUAGAUUGUAGUCUUACACUGACUGUGCCAAUGUCACUAAUCAAGAUAUUGAUUGUAUUCGAAUCAGUUUUAUUUAAAUAACGAGAUAUUGAAACUUGAAACUUGUCAGAGACCAACUAACAUAAUCCUUUAGAAAGAUUUAGAAGGCCGUUAUAGAAGUCGAACUAAAACAUGAUCAGGUUAAAAAAUGAGACGUGAAGCAAGAAAUAAACUUUAUAAAGGCAUUUUAAGAUAUUUACUACAAGUGGAAACUCAAAAGCAGCCAUGAGCGAGAACUAAACAAUUAUAAUACCACGCGUCAAUAGCUCUCUUAGGGUCAUGAACUCAAGUCACAAGACUUGCAAAAUGUCGUAAAUCGUAAUCUCAUCCGCACUUCCGUAAAUCGAUUUAAUUCAAAGUCAAAGUAUAAAGACAAUAACUAAGCGAUAUUUUAUCUCAAUGGUUCUCUUGAAAACUUUAGCGAUGUGAAUACACAACAAGGGAAUCGUUAGUUCCUGAAGACGCCAAGGUAAUGGCGUCUUACACCACUGGUUAUGACGAUGAACUAUUUCAACACCCCGUUGGUCCUAGUCUUCAUUGCUGUAUUUGCACGAAUGUCAUCAAAGACCCGGUCAUGUGUCGCCAUAAUGAACAUAUAUAUUGUCGUGGUUGUAUCACCAGACAUCUCAUGAACUCUCAGACAUGCCCGACAUGUAUGGAACCACUCACUGUCGAUACUCUGAAAGUGCCUCGGACCAUUGCGAACUUGCUUUCUGAACUUAAGAUCCGUUGUGAGUUCUUCAAUCGUGGUUGCGGGAAGU
Molecule: RNA transcript, 4531 nt
Organism: Dendronephthya gigantea
Lineage: Eukaryota; Metazoa; Cnidaria; Anthozoa; Malacalcyonacea; Nephtheidae
Gene name: kelch-like protein 12
Exons: 3
Source: RefSeq, a predicted model, not a curated record